GCCGCGGUAAUUCCAGCCCCAAUAGCGAAUAUUAAAUUUGUUGCAGUUAAAAAGCUCGUAGUUGGAUCCAAGGUUAGGCAUGCCUGUCUGUUCUUAGUAGCAUGACUGUGUGUGUCUGCCUUUAUUAGUUGAAUGUUCAUUAUGGUGGUCUUCAUCGACUGCUAUGAUGUGCUCAACACGUUUACCUUGAAAAAAUCAGAGCGAUCAAGGCAGGCCUUCGUGCUUGUAUGUUGUUGCAAGGAAUAAUAGAAUAGGACUUCGGUUCUAUUUUGUUGGUUUUGAGAAUUGAAGUAAUGAACAAUAGAUACAGUCGGGGGCAUUUGUAUGGUGGCGUCAGAGGUGAAAUUCUGAGAUCGUCGCCAGACAAACUACUGCGAAAGCAUUUGCCAAGGAUGUCUUCAUUAAUCAAGAACGAAAGUCAGAGGUUCGAAGACGAUCAGAUACCGUCCUAGUUCUGACCAUAAACGAUGCCGACCUACAAUCGGGGGUGGUUUAUUAUAUUGACCCUCCCGGCUGUCCUCAGGAAACUUUAAGUUGGUUCUGGGGGGAAUAUGGUCUCAAGACUGAAACUUAAAGGAAUUGACGGAAGGGCACCACCAGGAGUGGAGCCUGCGGCUUAAUUUGACAACACGGGGAAUCUCACCCGGUCCGGACACUGGUAGGAUGGACAGAUUGAUAGCUCUUUCUUGAUUCAGUGGGUGGUGGUGCAUGGCCGUUCUUAGUUGGUGGAGUGAUUUGUCUGGUUAAUUCCGAUAACGAACGAGACUCUGUCCUGCUAAAUAGUCCAGUGGCAUCAAUCACUAUGUGAUUACAGCUGCUGUUACUUCUUAGAGGGAUUCGCGGAUUUAAACCGCAAGAAAUAGAGCAAUAACAGGUCUGUGAUGCCCUUAGAUGUCCGGGGCCGCACGCGCGCUACAUUGACAGUAGAAGCGAGUAUUUCUACCUGGUUCGAAAGAAUUGGGAAAUCUUCGAAUUACUGUCUCCACAGGGAUUGAGGUUUGCAAUUUUGCCUCAUGAACGAGGAAUUCCCAGUAGGCGCAAGUCAUCAGCUUGCGUCGAUUACGUCCCUGCCCUUUGUACACACCGCCCGUCGCUACUACCGAUUGAGUGCAUUAGUGAGGACCUCGGAUUGAGAACAUAGUGGCGCAAGUUACUUUGUUUUCGAAAAGUGGUUCAAAUUUGUGCAUUUAGAGAUAGUAAAAGUCGU
This 1207-nucleotide ribosomal RNA is filed under the name metagenome. Its description in RNAcentral is "SSU rRNA". It matches the Rfam family "Eukaryotic small subunit ribosomal RNA", at positions 573 to 1792 of the family's 1831-position model. The record is from RNAcentral.